This 501-nucleotide ribosomal RNA is filed under the name uncultured bacterium. RNAcentral describes it as "partial 16S ribosomal RNA". It matches the Rfam family "Bacterial small subunit ribosomal RNA", at positions 899 to 1397 of the family's 1533-position model. The record is from RNAcentral.
ACUCAAAGGAAUAGACGGGGGCCCGCACAAGCGGUGGAGCAUGUGGUUCAAUUCGAUGCAACGCGAAGAACCUUACCUGGGCUCGAACGGCUUCUGACACUCCGUAGAAACAUGGGGUUUCCCGCAAGGGACAGGAGUCGAGGUGCUGCAUGGCUGUCGUCAGCUCGUGUCGUGAGAUGUUGGGUUAAGUCCCGCAACGAGCGCAACCCUUGUCCUGUGUUGCUAAGCCCAAAAGGCUGCACUCUCAGGAGACCGCCAGCGAUAAGUUGGAGGAAGGUGGGGAUGACGUCAAGUCAUCAUGGCCUUUAUGUCCAGGGCUACACACGUGCUACAAUGGUCGGUACAAAGCGCUGCAAACCCGCGAGGGGGAGCUAAUCGCAAAAAACCGAUCUCAGUUCGGAUCGCAGGCUGCAACUCGCCUGCGUGAAGCUGGAAUCGCUAGUAAUGGCAGAUCAGCACGCUGCCGUGAAUACGUUCCCGGGCCUUGUACACACCGCCCGU